UCCGAGUUGACCCCGGCAGUCUCCUGUGAGUCCCCAUCACCCCGAAAGGCAUGCUGGCAACACAGAACAAGGGUUGCGCUCGUUGCGGGACUUAACCCAACAUCUCACGACACGAGCUGACGACAGCCACGCAGCACCUGAACCGCCGGUCCCCGAAGGGAAGACCCCAUCUCUGGGGCUGUCCGACGUUGUCUAGCCCAGGUAAGGUUCUGCGCGUUGCGUCGAAUUAAACCACAUACUCCGCCGCUUGUGCGGGCCCCCGUCAAUUCCUUUGAGUUUCAGUCUUGCGACCGUACUCCCCAGGCGGCGAACUUAACGCGUUAGCUUCGAUACUGCGUGCCAAAUUGCACCCAACAUCCAGUUCGCAUCGUUUAGGGCGUGGACUAC
This 387-nucleotide unclassified non-coding RNA is filed under the name uncultured bacterium. Its description in RNAcentral is "contains 16S-23S intergenic spacer region". The record is from RNAcentral.